CUGGCUCAGGAUGAACGCUAGCGGCAGGCUAACACAUGCAAGUCGAGGGGCGAGUCGCGGGGGUAGCAAUACACCUGGCGGCGACCGGCGGAAGGGUGCGUAACGCGUGAGCAACAUGCCCGUCACAGGGGGAUAAAAGAUGGAAACGUCUCCUAAUACCCCAUAACAUCAGGGUAGGCAUCUACCUUGGUUGAAAGUUACGGCGGUGACGGAUUGGCUCGCGUGACAUUAGCUAGUUGGAGUGGUAACGGCACACCAAGGCGACGAUGUCUAGGGGUUCUGAGAGGAAGGUCCCCCACACUGGAACUGAGACACGGUCCAGACUCCUACGGGAGGCAGCAGUGAGGAAUAUUGGUCAAUGGGCGGAAGCCUGAACCAGCCAUGCCGCGUGAAGGAAAAUAAGGUCCUAUGGAUCGUAAACUUCUUUUGUGCGGGAGCAAUAAGGGUGUCGUGACAUCCGAUGAGAGUACCGUACGAAUAAGCAUCGGCUAACUCCGUGCCAGCAGCCGC
RNAcentral lists this ribosomal RNA (510 nucleotides) under uncultured bacterium. RNAcentral's name for it is "bacterial SSU rRNA". It matches the Rfam family "Bacterial small subunit ribosomal RNA", at positions 19 to 518 of the family's 1533-position model. The record is from RNAcentral.